RNAcentral lists this transfer RNA (75 nucleotides) under Thermosipho atlanticus DSM 15807. Its description in RNAcentral is "tRNA_Val_TAC". It matches the Rfam family "tRNA". From Rfam's summary of the family: Transfer RNA (tRNA) molecules are approximately 80 nucleotides in length. Their secondary structure includes four short double-helical elements and three loops (D, anti-codon, and T loops). Further hydrogen bonds mediate the characteristic L-shaped molecular structure. tRNAs have two regions of fundamental functional importance: the anti-codon, which is responsible for specific mRNA codon recognition, and the 3' end, to which the tRNAs corresponding amino acid is attached (by aminoacyl-tRNA synthetases). tRNAs cope with the degeneracy of the genetic code in two manners: having more than one tRNA (with a specific anti-codon) for a particular amino acid; and 'wobble' base-pairing, i.e. permitting non-standard base-pairing at the 3rd anti-codon position. The record is from RNAcentral. Lineage: Bacteria; Thermotogati; Thermotogota; Thermotogae; Thermotogales; Fervidobacteriaceae.
GGGCGCGUAGCUCAGUGGGAGAGCGCCUGCCUUACAAGCAGGAGGUCGUAGGUUCAAGUCCUGCCGCGCCCACCA